RNAcentral lists this ribosomal RNA (417 nucleotides) under uncultured eukaryote. RNAcentral describes it as "bacterial SSU rRNA". It matches the Rfam family "Eukaryotic small subunit ribosomal RNA", at positions 592 to 1018 of the family's 1831-position model. The record is from RNAcentral.
CAAUAGCGUAUAUUAAAGUUGUUGCAGUUAAAAAGCUCGUAGUUGGAUUUCUGGCCGAGUGUCCCCAGGCCAGCAUGACGUUUGGUCCUGGGCGCUCUGCCAUCCUUCUGUCAACCUUCGCCUUCUUCAUUGGGGGCGCUGGGGCUCAGAUAUUUUACCUUGAGAAAAUUAGAGUGUUUCAGGCAGGCUAGCGCCCGGAUACAUUAGCAUGGAAUAAUAGAAUAGGACUUUUACCUCUUCUGUUGGUCUGAGGGGUUAAAGUAAUGAUUAAUAGGGAUAGUUGGGGGCAUUAGUACUUAACUGUCAGAGGUGAAAUUCUUGGAUUUGUUAAAGACUAACUUAUGCGAAAGCAUUUGCCAAAGAUGUUUUCAUUAAUCAAGAACGAAAGUUAGGGGAUCAAAGACGAUCAGAUACCAU